This 301-nucleotide ribosomal RNA is filed under the name uncultured bacterium. RNAcentral's name for it is "partial 16S ribosomal RNA". It matches the Rfam family "Bacterial small subunit ribosomal RNA", at positions 509 to 807 of the family's 1533-position model. The record is from RNAcentral.
CAGCAGCCGCGGUAAAACGGAGGGUGCAAGCGUUAAUCGGAAUUACUGGGCGUAAAGCGCACGCAGGCGGUCUGUCAAGUCAGAUGUGAAAUCCCCGGGCUUAACCUGGGAACUGCAUUUGAAACUGGCAGGCUAGAGUCUUGUAGAGGGGGGUAGAAUUCCAGGUGUAGCGGUGAAAUGCGUAGAGGUCUGGAGGAAUACCGGUGGCGAAGGCGGCCCCCUGGACCUGUACUGACGCUCAUGCACGAAAGCGUGGGGAGCAAACAGGAUUAGAGACCCCUGUAGUCCCUGUCUCUUAUAC